ACAUGCAAGUCGAGCGGAUGAAGGGAGCUUGCUCCUGGAUUCAGCGGCGGACGGGUGAGUAAUAGCCUAGGAAUCUGCCUGGUAGUGGGGGAUAACGUCCGGAAACGGGCGCUAAUACCGCAUACGUCCUGAGGGAGAAAGUGGGGGAUCUUCGGACCUCACGCUAUCAGAUGAGCCUAGGUCGGAUUAGCUAGUUGGUGGGGUAAAGGCCUACCAAGGCGACGAUCCGUAACUGGUCUGAGAGGAUGAUCAGUCACACUGGAACUGAGACACGGUCCAGACUCCUACGGGAGGCAGCAGUGGGGAAUAUUGGACAAUGGGCGAAAGCCUGAUCCAGCCAUGCCGCGUGUGUGAAGAAGGUCUUCGGAUUGUAAAGCACUUUAAGUUGGGAGGAAGGGCAGUAAGUUAAUACCUUGCUGCUUUGACGUUACCAACAGAAUAAGCACCGGCUAACUUCGUGCCAGCAGCGGC
RNAcentral lists this ribosomal RNA (471 nucleotides) under Pseudomonas aeruginosa. Its description in RNAcentral is "bacterial SSU rRNA". It matches the Rfam family "Bacterial small subunit ribosomal RNA", at positions 53 to 518 of the family's 1533-position model. Lineage: Bacteria; Pseudomonadati; Pseudomonadota; Gammaproteobacteria; Pseudomonadales; Pseudomonadaceae. The record is from RNAcentral.